UCCGAUUUGUCACCUGUGCACGAUCUCCGAAGAGGGGCUCUCGUUUCUGAGAGCUUGCUCGUGCAUGUCAAGCCUAGGUAAGGUUCUUCGCGUUGCGUCGAAUUAAACCACAUGCUCCACCGCUUGUGCGGGCCCCCGUCAAUUCCCUUGAGUUUCAACCUUGCGGUCGUACUCCCCAGGCGGGGUACUUCCUGCGUUAGCGCCGGCACCCAGAGGGUCGCUCCCCCAGGCACCUAGUACCCAUCGUUUACGGCGUGGACUAC
Molecule: unclassified non-coding RNA, 263 nt
Filed under: uncultured Gemmatimonadaceae bacterium
Lineage: Bacteria; Pseudomonadati; Gemmatimonadota; Gemmatimonadia; Gemmatimonadales; Gemmatimonadaceae
Description: contains 16S-23S intergenic spacer region
Source: RNAcentral